AACGAACGCUGGCGGCAGGCCUAACACAUGCAAGUCGAGCGGACCUUUCGGGGUCAGCGGCGGACGGGUGAGUAACGCGUGGGAAUAUGCCCUUCUCUACGGAAUAGUCCUGGGAAACUGGGGGUAAUACCGUAUACGCCCUUUGGGGGCAAGAUUUAUCGGGGAAGGAUUAGCCCGCGUUGGAUUAGGUAGUUGGUGGGGUAAUGGCCUACCAAGCCGACGAUCCAUAGCUGGUUUGAGAGGAUGAUCAGCCACACUGGGACUGAGACACGGCCCAGACUCCUACGGGAGGCAGCAGUGGGGAAUCUUAGACAAUGGGGGCAACCCUGAUCUAGCCAUGCCGCGUGAGUGAUGAAGGCCUUAGGGUUGUAAAGCUCUUUCAGCUGGGAAGAUAAUGACGGUACCAGCAGAAGAAGCCCCGGCUAACUCCGUG
RNAcentral lists this ribosomal RNA (433 nucleotides) under uncultured bacterium. Its description in RNAcentral is "partial 16S ribosomal RNA". It matches the Rfam family "Bacterial small subunit ribosomal RNA", at positions 29 to 507 of the family's 1533-position model. The record is from RNAcentral.